Camelus ferus (Wild Bactrian camel) is the source of this 72-nucleotide transfer RNA. It matches the Rfam family "tRNA". Rfam says of the family: Transfer RNA (tRNA) molecules are approximately 80 nucleotides in length. Their secondary structure includes four short double-helical elements and three loops (D, anti-codon, and T loops). Further hydrogen bonds mediate the characteristic L-shaped molecular structure. tRNAs have two regions of fundamental functional importance: the anti-codon, which is responsible for specific mRNA codon recognition, and the 3' end, to which the tRNAs corresponding amino acid is attached (by aminoacyl-tRNA synthetases). tRNAs cope with the degeneracy of the genetic code in two manners: having more than one tRNA (with a specific anti-codon) for a particular amino acid; and 'wobble' base-pairing, i.e. permitting non-standard base-pairing at the 3rd anti-codon position. The record is from Rfam. NCBI's taxonomy places the organism in Eukaryota, Metazoa, Chordata, Mammalia, Artiodactyla, Camelidae.
GAGGGUAUGGCUCAGCGGGAAAGCACAUGCUUAGCAUGCACAAGGUCUUGAGUUCAAUCCUCAGUACCUCCA